GACCAAUAUCGACCACACACGCACCCGCCCAUCCAACAAUAUAACCACAACAGUCUCAUUUGCACUAUAUCACACAGUAAGUAUAGUGCACCGCAAAUGUAAUUACAUUUGUACUAGACUACAUAGCAAGUCCAGUGCACAUUACCAAUAAUCGCAUAUGUACCAUACCUCACAGUAACUACAAUGCACAUUAACAUCAAUAUCUUUUCCAUCUACGUGAUAGAGUUCACCGUUAACCACAUCAAUUAAGUCUUG
RNAcentral lists this long non-coding RNA (255 nucleotides) under Carica papaya (papaya). Its description in RNAcentral is "long non-coding RNA (CPAP_LNC009657)". Lineage: Eukaryota; Viridiplantae; Streptophyta; Magnoliopsida; Brassicales; Caricaceae. The record is from RNAcentral.